This 211-nucleotide ribosomal RNA is filed under the name uncultured fungus. RNAcentral's name for it is "partial 26S ribosomal RNA". It matches the Rfam family "Eukaryotic large subunit ribosomal RNA", at positions 36 to 240 of the family's 3401-position model. Lineage: Eukaryota; Fungi. The record is from RNAcentral.
UUGCAUUUCAAUAAGCGGAGGAAAAGAAACUAACAAGGCUUCCCAUAGUAACGGCGAGUGAAGUGGGAAGACCUCAAAUUUGGAAUCUCCAGGGGCCAACUCUGGCGAAUUGUAGUCUCGAGAAGACUUUUCUGGUGAGGCUGCUGGUCUAAGUUCCUUGGAACACGGCAUCAAAGAGGGGGAGAAUCUCUAUUUCUGACGGCACAGCACA